AUGCAGCAACGCCGCGUGAGCGAUGAAGGCCUUUCGGGUCCGUAAAGCUCUGUCCUCAAGGAAGAUAAUGACGGUACUUGAGGAGGAAGCCCCGGCUAACUACGUGCCAGCAGCCGCGGUAAUACGUAGGGGGCUAGCGUUAUCCGGAAUUACUGGGCGUAAAGGGUGCGUAGGUGGUUUUUUAAGUCAGAAGUGAAAGGCUACGGCUCAACCGUAGUAAGCUUUUGAAACUAGAGAACUUGAGUGCAGGAGAGGAGAGUAGAAUUCCUAGUGUAGCGGUGAAAUGCGUAGAUAUUAGGAGGAAUACCAGUAGCGAAGGCGGCUCUCUGGACUGUAACUGACACUGAGGCACGAAAGCGUGGGGAGCAAACAGGAUUAGAUACCCUGGUAGUCCACGCCGUAAACGAUGAGUACUAGGUGUCGGGGGUUACCCCCCUCGGUGCCGCAACUAACGCAUUAAGUACUCCGCCUGGGAAGUACGCUCGGAAGAGUGAAACUCAAAGGAAUUGACGGGGAGCCGCACAAGUAGCGGAGCACGUGGUUUAAUUCGAAGCAACGCGAACAAGCUUACCUAAGCUUGACGUCCCACUGACCUCUCCCUAAUCGGAGAUUUCCCUUCGGGGACAGUGGUGACAGGUGGUGCAUGGUUGUCGUCAGCUCGUGUCGUGAGAUGUUGGGUUAAGUCGCCGCAACGAGCGCAACCGCUUGCCUUUAGUUGCCAGCAUUAAGUUGGGCACUCUGCGAGGGACUGCCCAGGAUAACUCGGAGGAAUGUGGGCGAUGACCUCGAAUCAUCAUGCCUCCUUCAUGCUUAGGGCUACUCACGUGCUACAAUGGGUGAUACAGAGUGGUAUGCCAUAGCCGCUUCUGUGCAGCUAAUACCCAUAACAGCCAUUCUCACUUCAGAUUGUAGUGCUGUACACGUCGACUAUAUGCACGCUAGAGUUACUAGUGUCGCAGAUCAGAAUGCUGCGGUGGACUGUCGUUCCUCAGGUCCUC
This 998-nucleotide ribosomal RNA is filed under the name Paraclostridium sp. Its description in RNAcentral is "bacterial SSU rRNA". It matches the Rfam family "Bacterial small subunit ribosomal RNA", at positions 386 to 1382 of the family's 1533-position model. Lineage: Bacteria; Bacillati; Bacillota; Clostridia; Peptostreptococcales; Peptostreptococcaceae. The record is from RNAcentral.